CAAAAUGAGUUGGGUCAACCCAU
RNAcentral lists this non-coding RNA (23 nucleotides) under Arabidopsis thaliana (thale cress). The record is from RNAcentral. Lineage: Eukaryota; Viridiplantae; Streptophyta; Magnoliopsida; Brassicales; Brassicaceae.